This 408-nucleotide unclassified non-coding RNA is filed under the name uncultured Glomeromycotina. Its description in RNAcentral is "sequence contains 28S rRNA gene". The record is from RNAcentral. Lineage: Eukaryota; Fungi; Glomeromycota.
AGAGUUAAAUAGUACGUGAAAUUGUUGAAAGGGAAACGAUUGAAGCCAGUCGUACCUGCGGACAAUCAGCCUCCCGUGUGUGAUUACGUGGUACUUGAGGAGCUAAACACCCUCAUGUUUGCGUAUUCGUGCUCGUGGGUGUAUUUGCCCGUGUGGUAGGUUAACAUCAAUUUCGGGCAUCAUAAAAUGGUUGGAGGAAUGUGGCUUCGACCUCGGUUGAAGUGUUAUAGCCUUCGGCAGAUGAGGUGAUCGGGAUUGAGGAUUGCAACGGAUACCCUUUGGGCUACCUGUCUGAUCUCUGAUGGUUACUCUGGUGCCGAAAGCUUGCUUACGGUUAUCAAAGUUGAUCGUCAAUAGGUUAGAAUGGGAUAAAUUCGUUAAGGAUGUUGACGUAAUGGCUUUAAACGA